RNAcentral lists this ribosomal RNA (819 nucleotides) under Streptomyces sp. MIDA07. RNAcentral's name for it is "bacterial SSU rRNA". It matches the Rfam family "Bacterial small subunit ribosomal RNA", at positions 105 to 936 of the family's 1533-position model. Lineage: Bacteria; Bacillati; Actinomycetota; Actinomycetes; Kitasatosporales; Streptomycetaceae. The record is from RNAcentral.
GGUGAGUAACACGUGGGCAAUCUGCCCUUCACUCUGGGACAAGCCCUGGAAACGGGGUCUAAUACCGGAUAACACCUGCCCGGGCAUCCGGGUGGGUUAAAAGCUCCGGCGGUGAAGGAUGAGCCCGCGGCCUAUCAGCUUGUUGGUGAGGUAGUGGCUCACCAAGGCGACGACGGGUAGCCGGCCUGAGAGGGCGACCGGCCACACUGGGACUGAGACACGGCCCAGACUCCUACGGGAGGCAGCAGUGGGGAAUAUUGCACAAUGGGCGAAAGCCUGAUGCAGCGACGCCGCGUGAGGGAUGACGGCCUUCGGGUUGUAAACCUCUUUCAGCAGGGAAGAAGCGAAAGUGACGGUACCUGCAGAAGAAGCGCCGGAUAACUACGUGCCAGCAGCCGCGGUAAUACGUAGGGCGCAAGCGUUGUCCGGAAUUAUUGGGCGUAAAGAGCUCGUAGGCGGCUUGUCACGUCGGGUGUGAAAGCCCGGGGCUUAACCCCGGGUCUGCAUUCNAUACGGGCUAGCUAGAGUGUGGUAGGGGAGAUCGGAAUUCCUGGUGUAGCGGUGAAAUGCGCANAUAUCANGAGGAACACCGGUGGNGAAGGCGGAUCUCUGGGCCAUUACUGACGCUGAGGAGCGAAAGCGUGNGGAGCGAACAGGAUUAGAUACCCUGGUAGUCCACGCCGUAAACGGUGGGAACUAGGUGUUGGCGACAUUNCNNGUCGUCGGUGCCGCAGCUAACGCAUUAAGUUCCCCGCCUGGGGAGUACGGCCGCAAGGCUAANACUCNAAGGAAUUGACGGGGGCCCGCACAAGCAGCGGA